Molecule: non-coding RNA, 31 nt
Filed under: Rattus norvegicus (Norway rat)
Lineage: Eukaryota; Metazoa; Chordata; Mammalia; Rodentia; Muridae
Source: RNAcentral
UGGGACUUCAUAUUUCUAGUGUUCCUGCACU